This 717-nucleotide long non-coding RNA is filed under the name Ananas comosus (pineapple). RNAcentral's name for it is "long non-coding RNA (ACOM_LNC008824)". The record is from RNAcentral. Lineage: Eukaryota; Viridiplantae; Streptophyta; Magnoliopsida; Poales; Bromeliaceae.
AAAUAUGAUGGCAGUGAUAUAGACGAAUUUUCUCCAUACGAAAAAUUACUUUAGCAGAUAAAAUUGAUUAUUGAUUAUAUUUAUUAUAUUUUAUUCUUAAAAAUCAAAUACGAACAAUAAAUUAUUUAAGGGUUAAUUGUAUACAACUCCCUGUAAAUAUAGCAAAUAGCAAAUAUAUCCCUACAAAGUUCAACUUUCUUAUCCCUGCAAAAGUCCUAAUAUUAACAAAUAUGCCUCUACCGUUAGGUUUUAUUAGAAAACUAGUGUAGUAACCCGCGCGAUGCAGCAGAUAAAUAAUAGAAGAGAAAAUAAAAAAUAUUGAAGAGAAAGAAGAAAGGAGUUUGGAAAAUAAAAAUUCAAAUAUAUAUAUAUAUAUUUUUUUUGUAGGGAAAUGUAUGAAUUGAAUAAAUCAAUACGACCAUUGAAAAUCGAUAACUGUCCAGAAUCACUAUUCAAAAAAAAACUACGAAGGUCGUAUGAAGAUGGAGAUGAUAAUGUUGCGAUGAUGACGACGACGGCUAUAAAAAUCUCAUGCAAGUUUGCACGAUUUUGCACCCUUUUGGGCAUGGAAUAAUCAGAAGUUGCGGGCCAAAACUGCCACAUCAAUUAUGAAAUCAAAACUAACAUCUAAAUUAAUCAAAGUAAUGCGCAUAAAUCAAAUACUUGAUUGAUAUAACCACCAUAUCAAAAAUAAUGCAAAUUAAUUAAAUUCUAAUU